UGCGUCCAUAUCUCACGCGUUGGAGCGCCUCCCAGCCAUCCGCUCAUCCCGAGCGUGAACCAUGGCGUCCGCAAUCAGCUCCCGAUCCGUCCGCGCCUCCCAGCCUCUACCCAGCGUCCAAAGAUCCGUCCGCCUCCUCCACAGCAUCCCGUGAAUGGUCCCAGCCAGCCGUGAAGCGUCGCGAUGUCCGCAAGCCCGUGAUCCCAUGCCUGCCGUCCGCCUCCUCCAUAGCCAACCACCUCCUCCAUCACGUCCGAGCUUUCCAUAUCUUGCAGCUAGCUGGGAUUUGCUUCAUUCCGUGCGUUCCUUCCGAAUUAGCUUCCGGAUUAGCACUCCAUCAGUCCGCUUCCUCCCGCGUCC
RNAcentral lists this long non-coding RNA (360 nucleotides) under Phoenix dactylifera (date palm). RNAcentral's name for it is "long non-coding RNA (PDAC_LNC016299)". The record is from RNAcentral. Lineage: Eukaryota; Viridiplantae; Streptophyta; Magnoliopsida; Arecales; Arecaceae.